AUAAAAUUAUGUUAAUACUUCCAGUUGUGGUUCGUUCUUCUCUCUAUUCAUUUUGCUUCUGCUCAUCUCGAUUCUCUCCUGUUGCCCUCAUUUCCUUCAGACGCAGUCACAAAAGUCAUAAUAUGUUUGUCAUAAAUAUGUUUUUCAUAAAUACAUUUGUUCUAAUACAUAAUUUUUAUAAAUUACAUUUUUCAUAAAUUACAAAAGUCAUAGAUAACACAAGUCAUAAAUUCCAUUUGUCAUAACUACGUUUUUAUUGUAUACAAAUCAUACAUUUCUAAUAAUUUAUCCCAUUUUAACAUGUUUAAGAAAGUAGAAAAUCCGCGAUUGUUUUAAAUCAAAUCUGCUUAACUAUCUUUUCUCGGAAAUUGCAUGGAACAUGGAUCGUCUUAUGAGAUUUGAGAAAACAUCUAAAUAUGUCGAAGCUGUUGAUGCUCACCACAACACUUAUUACCUCAACAUCAACAAAACAAUGUAAACUACUGGUUAUGUUCCAGUAAAAGCUGCAACAAAAGGAUUGUUACCCGAAAAUCGACUGGAAACCUGGUAUGUGACUCUCUCCCUGAACAUGAUCAUGGGAACAAUGUCAAGAAACAGAAAACAAUGCAGCUAGAGAAUCAGGUAGUGGAAAGAAUGGCUGGGAAUGUAUCAAAUACUUGACGGAGUAUUCUGUCAGAGGUGACCAACUCCCUUCUUGCUGAAACCUCUGGAGGACUGCAUGGAAUGCGAUCAGCUAGAGCCAUCAAAACCAAUUGGUAUGGCGUGCAUGGCAGAAGUUUAACCCCAUGCCAAAGAUAUCAAUCAUCAAGAUAUCAUGGAAAUCCCAGAGCUACCUAUAAUAAGCUGGCUAAAACUAAAGAUGGCCAAUAUAUAAGUUUUGGUGUUUAUAGCUUUGCUGCACUCUACUCUACGAUGCAGAUGUGAAAAUAAACAAAUUAGG
Molecule: long non-coding RNA, 940 nt
Organism: Eurytemora carolleeae
Lineage: Eukaryota; Metazoa; Arthropoda; Copepoda; Calanoida; Temoridae
Exons: 2
Source: RefSeq, a predicted model, not a curated record